GACGAACGCUGGCGGCGUGCCUAAUACAUGCAAGUAGAACGCUGAAGAGAGGAGCUUACUCUUCUUGGAUGAGUUGCGAACGGGUGAGUAACGCGUAGGUAACCUGCCUUGUAGCGGGGGAUAACUAUUGGAAACGAUAGCUAAUACCGCAUAACAAUGGAUGACACAUGUCAUUUAUUUGAAAGGGGCAAUUUCUCCACUACAAGAUGGACCUGCGUUGUAUUAGCUAGUAGGUGAGGUAAUGGCUCACCUAGGCGACGAUACAUAGCCGACCUGAGAGGGUGAUCGGCCACACUGGGACUGAGACACGGCCCAGACUCCUACGGGAGGCAGCAGUAGGGAAUCUUCGGCAAUGGGGGCAACCCUGACCGAGCAACGCCGCGUGAGUGAAGAAGGUUUUCGGAUCGUAAAGCUCUGUUGUAAGUCAAGAACGGGUGUGAGAGUGGAAAGUUCACACUGUGACGGUAGCUGACCAGAAAGGGACGGCUAACUACGUG
This 497-nucleotide ribosomal RNA is filed under the name uncultured bacterium. RNAcentral's name for it is "partial 16S ribosomal RNA". It matches the Rfam family "Bacterial small subunit ribosomal RNA", at positions 28 to 507 of the family's 1533-position model. The record is from RNAcentral.